AAAUAAAAUAAAAAGGAAGUCCAGAAUAGAAAAAAAAAAGAGCCGAGCCCAAACAUCCAAAUUUCUUAGGGUUUUUUCUCCUUUUCCAAAGAAAAGCCAAAGCUGCAUUUACCCCCUUUCAAAUGGUGCGGCACAGGGAAACCAGGGGCACCACCCCAACUCCGGCAAACUCCUCCCGGUCGUCGUCGUCAGGAUUGUUAACAACGUUACCCGCGUCGGGAGCGUCGUCGUUCUUCGCGGCACUCUACUUCUUCGUCGUCUCCCGCGUGCACGGCCCAAUCCCGCCACCAACGUUGCGCCGCAGACAUCGGCAACCGCUUCGACUCCGCCGCCACCGACGCUCAUCCAAGGAUGUGGUGUCUGUAGACCGCCGCUCUUCGUUGUCGGUGAUCCUUUCUUUUCUUAUUUUUUGCUCUGAUCGGGGUUCGUGUGCAAGUGAUAUUUUUAUGACCCAAAAAUGCAAAAAAAUGAUGGACGAAUUGAAAUGAUACUUUAAUGGUCCGAAGUUGACAAAGAUGAUGAAACCGCUAUGUUUUACUGUUACGUUUUUGGUCUUGCAGGAAAGUGAUUUUUGGGGUUUUUUGGUGGCAUCAGUUAGAGUUUGAGGUUAAUGGUGGGGUUCUAUGUAAUUGGUCCUCUAUUUUUUAUUAGAGUACUUAGAGUUCUACAUGAUGGAGGGGAAUGGUGGCUUCGUAGUUGCGCAAUAGUUGUGAGAAAGUAUAGGGAAGGCCAAAAACCUAACCUAAGUUGGUGGUGGAUGAAGGGAAAACAAGGAUACAGUACCAGACCGCGCAACAGACAAAGUAACUCCCCGAUAUAAUUACAUAGUUUAAUUCAAACACCAGCGGGCAUUAUCAAACCAAAUUGGUACUGGACACGAUGAGAUACCUGAAGAAACUCUUCUUCCUUGUCUUCCUCUUUCUAAAUGUGGCUUUUGUUGCUUUGUGUUGAAUGGUGGUUGAUGGAUGAUCCCGUCGACAAAGGGAGUCAAAGCUAGUUGGGAAUGUUGUUGAUGUUGAGUGGGAGAAUCGGGUUCUUUUGUGCACUCCUGAGUUCCCCUACUGUGGUUGCUGUGAUAAGGUGAAUGGCGUUAGUGCUGGAGGUCCUGGUAUCAGGAGCUCUCUCCUCAACUGGUUCGGUAUUAGUGAUGAAUCUUCAAAGUUCAAAAUCCGUUGGCCAGAAACUUGAGGUAAGUGUGGGGAGCAGAGAAAAUUCAGAGCCAGAGGGAGUUCCUCUAGUCAGCGAGUAGUAGUGAGAUCCUGAUAGAUUUUUCUUCUUCCAAUGAAAAAUGCUUUGGCAGAUGCUAAGGUCAGAAGGCACCUGCCACUCACACUGCCAUUAGCCACCCUACUUCCCCUCUCCUGCUACUCACCAUCAAAACGAGCUCUUUCCACUUGCGGUAAUAAGCCCAAGAUAGUGUAGGUGCUGAGCAAAAGAUUUGUAUCCAAAAAUAGGAGAUAACGUAAAGGUUUUUGAUAGAAAACGUCUCUUUGUGAUUGAAAAACUUCGACUGUGAUUGAAAAACUUUAUCUUGAAAGAUCCAUCUGUUAAAUCCAAAUUCAAAUAGGUGCGAAUGAUGAAAAUGGUUCUGUCGGCACCUUUACCGUUUA
Vigna radiata var. radiata (mung bean) is the source of this 1610-nucleotide RNA transcript. RefSeq lists it as uncharacterized. The record is from RefSeq and is a predicted model, not a curated record. The transcript has 2 exons. Lineage: Eukaryota; Viridiplantae; Streptophyta; Magnoliopsida; Fabales; Fabaceae.